AUAUUUUGGAUUCGUCGGUCUACCGAGCAAUAUCACCCGCUCGGUAGAAGAUCAUUGACUU
Molecule: microRNA precursor, 61 nt
Filed under: Bombyx mori (domestic silkworm)
Lineage: Eukaryota; Metazoa; Arthropoda; Insecta; Lepidoptera; Bombycidae
Description: mir-2774 microRNA precursor family
Rfam family: mir-2774 microRNA precursor family
Source: Rfam by way of RNAcentral